Non-coding RNA from Pelobates cultripes (western spadefoot toad), 497 nucleotides. The record is from the annotation of a GenBank genome assembly. Lineage: Eukaryota; Metazoa; Chordata; Amphibia; Anura; Pelobatidae.
GUUAAUAAGUGGCUACUAAUAAAGACUGGACAUACCCAGUUUGCAAUACACCUUGGGUUGUCUACUAUUGCAAAUGGUAUGCCAUCAGGGGGCUAAUUCUCAUUCCUGGGCUACCAUACACUCUCAAAGGCAACGUAACCAAUCUUGCGAAUUUCAACGUGAAAAAAAAUGAAAAAUUUAACAUGCUAUAUUUGACCAUGUAACUUCCCAAAACACCAUAAAACCUGUACAUAAGGGGUACCCCGUUUUACACGUGAGACAUCACUGAACACAAAUGUGUAUUUUAUUACAGCAAAAGCAAACCGUAUUAUGACAGAAUGUCAUGCAGAACUAAAAAAUUUUGUAAAAAUCCUUAAUUUCUCUCAUUUUUAUAUUUUAUUCAUAUUAAAUUGUGUUUCAUCGCUAAAUAUUUGAUAAAUGAAAGCAGUUUCCCCUGAAUCAAAUUAUUUAUAAUAAGUGUGGGUGCACUUAAUACGAAAGGUUAAUUACGGUUGAAC